UGAAAGCAUCUAAGUGUGAAACUCGCCUCGAGAUGAGAUUUCCCAUCUGAAAAGAGUAAGACCCCUCAGAGAUGAUGAGGUAGAUAGGCUAGAAGUAGCAGUGGUGUGAACCAUGGAGCGGACUAGUACUAAUCGGUCGAGGACUUAACCA
Molecule: ribosomal RNA, 151 nt
Filed under: Leuconostocaceae bacterium R-53105
Lineage: Bacteria; Bacillati; Bacillota; Bacilli; Lactobacillales; Lactobacillaceae
Description: 23S rRNA. Bacterial LSU
Rfam family: Bacterial large subunit ribosomal RNA
Source: RNAcentral